RNAcentral lists this ribosomal RNA (549 nucleotides) under uncultured bacterium. Its description in RNAcentral is "bacterial SSU rRNA". It matches the Rfam family "Bacterial small subunit ribosomal RNA", at positions 356 to 896 of the family's 1533-position model. The record is from RNAcentral.
GGGGAAUCUUCCGCAAUGGACGAAAGUCUGACGGAGCAACGCCGCGUGAGUGAUGACGGCCUUCGGGUUGUAAAGCUCUGUUAAUCGGGACGAAAGGUCCUCUUGCGAAUAGUUAGAGGAAUUGACGGUACCGGAAUAGAAAGCCACGGCUAACUACGUGCCAGCAGCCGCGGUAAUACGUAGGUGGCAAGCGUUGUCCGGAAUUAUUGGGCGUAAAGCGCGCGCAGGCGGAUUAGUCAGUCUGUCUUAAAAGUUCGGGGCUUAACCCCGUGAUGGGAUGGAAACUGCUGAUCUAGAGUAUCGGAGAGGAAAGUGGAAUUCCUAGUGUAGCGGUGAAAUGCGUAGAUAUUAGGAAGAACACCAGUGGCGAAGGCGACUUUCUGGACGAAAACUGACGCUGAGGCGCGAAAGCCAGGGGAGCGAACGGGAUUAGAUACCCCGGUAGUCCUGGCCAUAAACGAUGGGUACUAGGUGUAGGAGGUAUCGACCCCUUCUGUGCCGGAGUUAACGCAAUAAGUACCCCGCCUGGGGAGUACGACCGCAAGGUUG